Molecule: long non-coding RNA, 1600 nt
Filed under: Anolis carolinensis (green anole)
Lineage: Eukaryota; Metazoa; Chordata; Lepidosauria; Squamata; Anolidae
Description: lncRNA (ENSACAG00000042819.1)
Source: RNAcentral
UAUAUAAAUAAUAUUAUUAUAUUAUACAGUAUUAUUAUAUUGUAUUAUUAUUAUUAGCCACCCUGAGUCCCCUAUUGGGUGAGAAGGGCGGGGUAGAAAUACUGUUAUAAAUAAGUAAAUAUUAUAUUGUAUUACAUUAUAAUAUUAUUAUCAAUAUUUUAUGUAUACACAAUAUAUUAUACUAGCUGUGCCCGGCCAUGCGUUGCUGUGGCAAAGUGGUGGUGGUAUUGGUUAAAAAUUGUUGUGUAAUUUUUAUUUGACGUUAUUUGUAUGUUUUUUUAUUAAUUUUAUUGUAAGUUAUCUUUUUAUUUAUUAUAUUUUAUUAUUUUCUUGUAUUAUUUUUAGUUAUUUUCUGUUAUAGUAUUUUAUUGUAUUAAUUAUUUAGUGUUUUUAAUUAUUUUUUAGUGUUUUUAUUAUUUUUUAUUGGGUUGCUAGGAGACCAAGUUGGAGGAGCUUAGCCUUCUAACUGGCAGCAAUUGGAUAAAAACAAUUAUUCCUCUCCCUCUAAUUAGGACUUUAUUUUUCUUUUCUUUUUGUUGUAUCAACCUAGAGCCAUGGAAAUGGUUGUGUUGUCAAAUUUCGAGGUUGGGGGGCCUGUAGUUUUGUUGUUUUGUGGGUCGCCGUGAUGCCAUCACUCAUUUAUAUAUAUAUAUUACAGUAUUACCAUAUCAUUCAUUUACAAUAUUUCAUUUACAAUAUUAGUAAAUGAAAGAACAAUACAAUAUUUAAAAGUAUUUAUUGCACCAUUACAACCUAACCACUUAGCAGUGUUUGCCUUUGCUCCUGUGACUGCAGCCUCUGCUUUAGUGCUUAGAAAUCCAAAGUUCUACAAUGAUUGAAGGGAACCUUUUCCACAUGCCAUACUUAAAAAAAAUUCUGUCAAGCUCAGUUAGCUUGCCACAUAACAAUGGGUCUCUAGAGAAAGGAAAUUAAAAAUAACAACAUGGUUGUAUUUGGAUUACAGACUAACUGGAGAAAAAGCCAAUCUAACGCUUCCCUAUGAGGUUAUCAAACCACUAGUGGCAUUUAGUAUAGAGAAACAAUUCUAAAUGGCAACCAAACUGUUAGAUGACCCUUUAUCAUUGCUCAUUUUUUUCUCUCUCUCCACCCCACAUGUGGGCUCUUGUUAAUUUUCUUGGAACUGGAGGGGGAGAAUAUAAUGUGGUGUAGUGGUUUGAGUGUUGACAGAUAUGCUGGGAAACCAGAAUUCGAAUCCUGAUCAAUGUGUGUUGAUGUGGUUUGUAAAGACACCAUUAUGGAUGGGUUAACUGGAAAAGUAGGUGUAAGAAGUUGAUUGGCUGAGCCUGCGAGCAGCUAGGAAUCUGAUUGGUCAAUUUCUCUGCCAUGCCACUGAGGAACCAGUUUGAGCAGGUUGCUGACUGGAAACAGCCAGGAGAGAGGAUGGCUGCCGGCUCUUAGAGGCCCUAUUAUUUCUAAGGCACUGAGGCAAUUUUAUGGACUUUAAAAGGACUACAGUGUUCCCUCGCUUAUCGUGGGGGUUAGAUACCAUGACCACCCGCGAAAAGUGAAAAUCUGCGAAGUAGGGAUGCUAUAUUUGUGUGUUUACAAUCUCACUGAUAAGUAGCAUGUCUAUCCCCUC